This is a long non-coding RNA of Ziziphus jujuba (common jujube), 2045 nucleotides long. RefSeq lists it as uncharacterized. NCBI's taxonomy places the organism in Eukaryota, Viridiplantae, Streptophyta, Magnoliopsida, Rosales, Rhamnaceae. The record is from RefSeq and is a predicted model, not a curated record. The transcript is spliced from 2 exons.
UCUCACAAUCUUUGUAAAACUCAGAAGAGGAGUUUACCAAGAUUUCUCACAUCCCACACAUCAUCAUUGAUGGUCAAGAGGUUAGAAAAAUUGCACUUUACCACUUCUUAAUUUGUCUUUUCCAUAAAACACUUAAACGCACCGUUUUGCUGCAGUUGGAGAAUAACUGUGAAGAAGAAGAAGAAGAAGAAGAAGAGACUAACAUUGAAGAAGAAGAAGGAGCUGUUCAAGAUUUAUUGCCACAUCCCACGCAUCAUCAUUGAUGGUCAAGAGGCGAUCAAGAUCCGUGUAGAACGUCAGCGACAAUGAUAUUUCGUUUGAUUUCUAAAUCAACUUGUCAUAUAUGGAAAUUAAGGUACACAUCCACUUCUUGUAAUUCGGUUUAAAAUUGCUAUGCCUCCAAUAAUCCUCAUCUGGUUUUUAACUUGUUUUCCUUGGCUAGACAACAAUAUUGAACCAUUAAGAAAAGCUUUUUCCAACUUGGUCAAGUGCUUAUUCCUUUCGACCUCUUGUAAGUAACCGUGAUGGUCAUACAUUCCAUAUAAUCUUGUAUGACAAGCUAUAUCAUUUUCAUCCAAAAAUCGAAUACAUUAUGCAUUCCUCUUUACUUAUAAUUAUUGGUAUAUCAUUUCAUUCAAAAUAUAAUAAUUAAUCUUAUAUAUAUAUAUAUAUAUAUAUAUUGUAUGAUUGUUAUUCUGGUUUUUUGGACAAACUCCUGAAUUCUAUAGGAAGUGUUGUUUGCUACAAAUAUAAGUUGUUUUCCAUCCAUAUGUAUCUGUAUCUGUUCAUUUUUACAGGUUAUUAAUCAUUAUUUUUUAACUAGAUUUAGUUUAUACUUCUCUAUUUUUUUCAUUUUCUCCAUCUUUUCUUCUAAUUCUGCUUCCUGCUCUCUUAAUGUUGUAACAUGUCUUCCAAAAAGAAUAUUUUCAUUCCAAACAGCAAACACAAACGGAAGCUUCAAUAUUUACCCAAAAAGAAUAUUUUCCAUUUUUCAGAUUUUAAGUCUGUAGAUAGUGUUUUUCUAAGUUAAAUAUUUUUACAUAUGUAUGAUUAACCAAUAAUUUUCUUCACAACCUAGUUCUAAAUAGCAUAUGCCCAUCACAUGACUUAAGCACCAACCAUUGCAUUGCAUUGCAGAAUUACUGAUUUCCAGUAGAUGUUGAAUAUUUAAUGCAGAAGUCUGUAACUUUAUUGUUCUCAAUAUCUACAUUUAUCAUAAUUUGAUUAAUUCAUUAAUGUUUAACAAACAAAUUAUUUUUCUAACUUUUGCACUCCUGAUUUCAUUAUAAUUAUUCCCAAAACUGAAACAGCUCUGCUUUUUACAAAAUUGUGAACUAGGAAGAAUGGCAAUUGAGCUAUGAACCAAAUGCAAGCUGGAGAGAUGUUUAUGCUGUGUAUAUCUAUGCAUUGUUAUGUAACUUUGCUUUGUCUUAUAUAUAUUUUAUAUUUUUUUAUAAUGUUAAAAAAAUAAUGCUAAAAUACCAAUAAGUCUACCAAAAAGUUUAUCAAAAACUAAUAUUUUGUUAUUUUAUUGGUUGUAAAAUCAAUAUUUUUAUAAAUAUUAAAAAGUGAACAUUUGAAUAGAUAAAUAUAAUUAAUCAAUAAAUAAGAUAAUAAUAGCUCAUAUCUUUCGUUUUUUUUUUUGGGUAAAUUAAUAAUAGUUUAUCUUUUGGUAAAAUUUCUUAGUACUCCUAGCAUUAUCUUGUUAUUGUUAUAAUUAUUUUCUCUUUUACUUUUUUGGCUUAGUGAAAGUGAUGAGAUAUGCCCACUGAAAAGGAUUACUUUGUUUUAAAUCUAAUCUUAUUUAUUAUUUUGCAGGAUUCGUAUGAGCUUAACCAGUUCAUCAUUAAUCUCUCAAGUGUAACACCAAAAGGACUUGAAUAUAAUAACUUCAAUUUUAAUUCAAUAAAUUUGCAAUUAUUGAAUUUUAUGUAAUCAAAACUUUGAAUGUAAUAAAGUAGUUAUUUAUUUGUAACACAAAAGGGACUUAAAUGUAAUGAUGUUGCUAUUUAUAUGUAAUAUGUUGCUAUAUUGUAUUGCAAGUC